CCUACGGGAGGCAGCAGUGAGGAAUAUUGGUCAAUGGACGCGAGUCUGAACCAGCCAAGUAGCGUGAAGGAUGACUGCCCUAUGGGUUGUAAACUUCUUUUAUAUGGGAAUAAAAUGUUCCACGUGUGGGCUUUUGUAUGUACCAUAUGAAUAAGGAUCGGCUAACUCCGUGCCAGCAGCCGCGGUAAUACGGAGGAUCCGAGCGUUAUCCGGAUUUAUUGGGUUUAAAGGGAGCGUAGGUGGAUUGUUAAGUCAGUUGUGAAAGUUUGCGGCUCAACCGUAAAAUUGCAGUUGAAACUGGCAGUCUUGAGUACAGUAGAGGUGGGCGGAAUUCGGGGUGUAGCGGUGAAAUGCUUAGAUAUCACGAAGAACUCCGAUUGCGAAGGCAGCUCACUGGACUGCAACUGACACUGAGGCUCGAAAGUGUGGGUAUCAAACAGGAUUAGAUACCCCAGUAGUC
This 460-nucleotide ribosomal RNA is filed under the name uncultured bacterium. RNAcentral's name for it is "partial 16S ribosomal RNA". It matches the Rfam family "Bacterial small subunit ribosomal RNA", at positions 338 to 795 of the family's 1533-position model. The record is from RNAcentral.